CUCUUCUUGCUUUAACACAGAAGAAACAACCCAGGUUAUACUCUUUCAUCUAAACUGGACAUUUAUUUGUAAAUGAGGGAUUGGGCUGUUGUUGAAUAAACAGGGGAUAAGUUAAAAGAGAUUGCUUGAAGAAGGAUUCUGGGAGUUAACAAUGGCUGUGGACAUGUGAAGGAAUAGAAGAGGAGGCUGAAUAGAAGACUGAUAGCCUGGAGGAAUAAGAAGCCACAGGUGGAAUGAGCUAGAGUCCUGAGGACUGGGCAGAGCAGAAAAUCUCUCCCUCCCCACUACCAUCACCUACUGACUCACUGUGACCUGAACAACAAAUACGCUUUUACUGGCCUAAGCUACUAACUUUUAUGCUUGUGGAAGCACUGAACCAAUCUUGAUAAAGUAUAAAGCUGGAGGAGAAAGAAGGAGUAGGUUCCUUAUAAAUGGAUGAGUUUGGGCCCCUCUUGCUGUCCCUUGCUCCUCUGCCUUCCACCAUGAGAUGACACAGCAUGAAGGCCCUCAGCAGAUGCUGACCCCUCAAUCUUGGACUUUCCAGCCUCUAUAAUUGUGAGACAAUAAACUUUUGUUCAUUAUAAAUUACCCAGUCUAUGGUAUUCAGUUAUAACAGCACAAAACAGACCAAGACAGUCAUCAAGAUUAUUGGGAGUCUUGGAGGAAAAGCCAGUUUGGGAGAAAGAUUAUGCCUUCUUGUUGGAAUAUAUGAGCUUGAGCUGGCUGAGAACUAUGGGAAGAUGCCCAGGUACAACUGGAAAUUUCACCGUGGAGCUGAGGAGUGGACCAGAGCCAGAAGUGACUGUCUAGAACGAAGCCCACCCUGCCUUCCCUGAGCCAAUCUCUAAGACCCCUUAGGAAUAGAUACACCAAAAAUACUCUGAUCCCAGAUGUAGACCUGCACUCCAGUGUAAAGUCAACUUCACAAUUUUUCAACAAACAUUCUCAGAGGUAGAGAUGGACUAAAAGGUAGAGUCAAGUUUUACUGGAAAAAUGCUUGAUGGGUGAUGAGGAGGUGACCCUCAUCCGAUAGUGAACCCAGUCUGGUCUCGGUAUUCAUACUUUUGACAAAAAGGAAGAGACAAAGGAGAGACACAUUCCAGCAUGUGGUUGGUGCAGAAUGACAACAGGCAAUCCAACCACAAAAGAUAGGAAUGUGAUCUUGGCCCUGAGGAGAAGAACAGCAAAUACUCUUUGGCUCUGGGUGAAUUUAGAAAUGAAAGAGAAGCCACAUGUAAAUUUCACUAGCACUUUCACAGUGAUAAAUGAAAAUACUUUCACAAUAAAUGAGGUGCUACUAAAUAAACAAAUCACUUGAAAAUGUACUUGUGGGAUAGCGGAGAUAAAUUAAAAAACAGGUUAAAGUAACAUCUGUAUAUUAACAUCAUCAUAAAACAAGUUGGUAAUGGGGGGUAGCAUGCAAAGUACUAUGAAACAAUAAUCAGAAACUUUAUGUCAAUUAUUGAAAACCAUGACAUUGAUUGAGAGGUAUUACUCAGUCUCUGAUGUUUCUGCAGCACGUUUUUCCCAACUGGGUUUAUAAGAAGUGUCUAUUCAACGCUGAUAAAUACCCUUAAAUUCUAUCACAAUAUAAUCUGCCUUAGGAAGACUACAUGUUGAAUUGAUUCUUAUGACAUGAUGGCUCAAUGAUUUCUCACUGUCCUAGAGUGGUUGAAUAGCCA
This 1682-nucleotide long non-coding RNA is filed under the name Homo sapiens (human). RNAcentral describes it as "HSALNT0250927". Lineage: Eukaryota; Metazoa; Chordata; Mammalia; Primates; Hominidae. The record is from RNAcentral.